GGAGGAAAAGAAACCAACAGGGAUUACCUCAGUAACGGCGAGUGAAGCGGUAACAGCUCAAAUUUGAAAUCUGGCUCUUUCAGGGUCCGAGUUGUAAUUUGUAGAAGAUGCUUUGGGUGUGGCCCCGGUCUAAGUUCCUUGGAACAGGACGUCAUAGAGGGUGAGAAUCCCGUAUGUGACUGGGUGCUUUCGCCCGUGUAAAGCUCUUUCGACGAGUCGAGUUGUUUGGGAAUGCAGCUCAAAAUGGGUGGUAAAUUUCAUCUAAAGCUAAAUAUUGGCCAGAGACCGAUAGCGCACAAGUAGAGUGAUCGAAAGAUGAAAAGCACUUUGGAAAGAGAGUUAAACAGUACGUGAAAUUGUUGAAAGGGAAGCGCUUGCAACCAGACUCGCAUGCCGUCGAUCAUCCUGAGUUCUCUCUGGUGCACUCGGCGGUAUUCGGGCCAGCAUCGGUUUGGGUGGUGGGAUAAAGGCCUUGGGAAUGUAGCUUCUUUCGGGGAGUGUUAUAGCCCUCGGUGCAAUGCCGCCUACCUGGACCGAGGACCGCGCUUCGGCUAGGAUGCUGGCGUAAUGGUUGUAAGCGACCCGUCUUGAAACACGGACCAAGGAGUCUAACAUCUAUGCGAGUAUUUGGGUGUUAAACCCAUAUGCGUAAUGAAAGUGAACGGAGGUGAGAACCCUUAAGGGUGCAUCAUCGACCGAUCCUGAUGUCUUCGGAUGGAUUUGAGUAAGAGCAUAGCUGUUGGGACCCGAAAGAUGGUGAACUAUGCCUAAAUAGGGUGAAGCCAGAGGAAACUCUGGUGGAGGCUCGCAGCGGUUCUGACGUGCAAAUCGAUCGUCAAAUUUGGGUAUAGGGGCGAAAGACUAAUCGAACCAUCUAGUAGCUGGUUCC
This 889-nucleotide ribosomal RNA is filed under the name Albotricha acutipila. RNAcentral describes it as "partial large subunit ribosomal RNA". It matches the Rfam family "Eukaryotic large subunit ribosomal RNA", at positions 52 to 958 of the family's 3401-position model. The record is from RNAcentral. Lineage: Eukaryota; Fungi; Ascomycota; Leotiomycetes; Helotiales; Lachnaceae.